UCUGGUUGAUUCUGCCAGUAGUCAUAUGCUUGUCUCAAAGAUUAAGCCAUGCAUGUCUAAGUAUAAGCACUUUAUACUGUGAAACUGCGAAUGGCUCAUUAAAUCAGUUAUCGUUUAUUUGAUAGUACCUUACUACAUGGAUACCUGUGGUAAUUCUAGAGCUAAUACAUGCUAAAAACCUCGACUUCGGAAGGGGUGUAUUUAUUAGAUAAAAAACCAAUGCCCUUCGGGGCUCCUUGGUGAUUCAUAAUAACUUAACGAAUCGCAUGGCCUUGCGCCGGGCGAUGGUUCAUUCAAAUUUCUGCCCUAUCAACUUUCGAUGGUAGGAUAGUGGCCUACCAUGGUGGCAACGGGUAACGGGGAAUUAGGGUUCGAUUCCGGAGAGGGAGCGUGAGAAACGGCUACCACAUCCAAGGAAGGCAGCAGGCGCGCAAAUUACCCAAUCCCGACACGGGGAGGUAGUGACAAUAAAUACUGAUACGGGGCUCUUUUGGGUCUCGUAAUUGGAAUGAGUACAAUCUAAAUCCCUUAACGAGGAACAAUUGGAGGGCAAGUCUGGUGCCAGCAGCCGCGGUAAUUCCAGCUCCAAUAGCGUAUAUUAAAGUUGUUGCAGUUAAAAAGCUCGUAGUUGAACCUUGGGUCUGGCUGGCCGGUCCGCCUCACCGCGAGUACUGGUCCGGCUGGACCUUUCCUUCUGGGGAACCUCAUGGCCUUCACUGGCUGUGGGGGGAACCAGGACUUUUACUGUGAAAAAAUUAGAGUGUUCAAAGCAGGCCUUUGCUCGAAUACAUUAGCAUGGAAUAAUAGAAUAGGACGUGCGGUUCUAUUUUGUUGGUUUCUAGGACCGCCGUAAUGAUUAAUAGGGAUAGUCGGGGGCGUCAGUAUUCAGCUGUCAGAGGUGAAAUUCUUGGAUUUGCUGAAGACUAACUACUGCGAAAGCAUUCGCCAAGGAUGUUUUCAUUAAUCAGGGAACGAAAGUUAGGGGAUCGAAGACGAUCAGAUACCGUCGUAGUCUUAACCAUAAACUAUGCCGACUAGGGAUCGGGCGGUGUUUCUAUGAUGACCCGCUCGGCACCUUACGAGAAAUCAAAG
This 1092-nucleotide ribosomal RNA is filed under the name Aspergillus flavus. Its description in RNAcentral is "SSU rRNA". It matches the Rfam family "Eukaryotic small subunit ribosomal RNA", at positions 1 to 1103 of the family's 1831-position model. The record is from RNAcentral. Lineage: Eukaryota; Fungi; Ascomycota; Eurotiomycetes; Eurotiales; Aspergillaceae.